Molecule: ribosomal RNA, 1204 nt
Filed under: Kineococcus sp.
Lineage: Bacteria; Bacillati; Actinomycetota; Actinomycetes; Kineosporiales; Kineosporiaceae
Description: bacterial SSU rRNA
Rfam family: Bacterial small subunit ribosomal RNA
Source: RNAcentral
CAGAGUUUGAUUAUGGCUCAGGACGAACGCUGGCGGCGUGCUUAACACAUGCAAGUCGAACGGUGAACCCUCCUCGGAGGGGGAUCAGUGGCGAACGGGUGAGUAACACGUGAGCAACCUGCCCCUGGCUCUGGGACAACCACUGGAAACGGUGGCUAAUACCGGAUACGACCCACCUCGGCAUCGGGUGUGGGUGGAAAGUUUUUCGGCUGGGGAUGGGCUCGCGGCCUAUCAGCUUGUUGGUGGGGUGAUGGCCCACCAAGGCGACGACGGGUAGCCGGCCUGAGAGGGCGACCGGCCACACUGGGACUGAGACACGGCCCAGACUCCUACGGGAGGCAGCAGUGGGGAAUAUUGCACAAUGGGCGAAAGCCUGAUGCAGCGACGCCGCGUGAGGGAUGACGGCCUUCGGGUUGUAAACCUCUUUCAGCUCCGAAGAAGCGCAAGUGACGGUAGGAGCAGAAGAAGCACCGGCUAACUACGUGCCAGCAGCCGCGGUAAUACGUAGGGUGCAAGCGUUGUCCGGAAUUAUUGGGCGUAAAGAGCUCGUAGGCGGUGUGUCGCGUCUGCUGUGAAAACUCAGGGCUCAACUCUGAGCUUGCAGUGGGUACGGGCACACUUGAGUGCUGUAGGGGAGACUGGAAUUCCUGGUGUAGCGGUGAAAUGCGCAGAUAUCAGGAGGAACACCGGUGGCGAAGGCGGGUCUCUGGGCAGUUACUGACGCUGAGGAGCGAAAGCAUGGGGAGCGAACAGGAUUAGAUACCCUGGUAGUCCAUGCCGUAAACGUUGGGCGCUAGGUGUGGGGUCCAUUCCACGGAUUCCGUGCCGCAGCUAACGCAUUAAGCGCCCCGCCUGGGGAGUACGGCCGCAAGGCUAAAACUCAAAGGAAUUGACGGGGGCCCCGCACAAGCGGCGGAGCAUGCGGAUUAAUUCGAUGCAACGCGAAGAACCUUACCAAGGCUUGACAUGCGCGGUGGAAUCCCAGAGAUGGGGUGUCAUUUAGUUGGUCGCGUACAGGUGGUGCAUGGUUGUCGUCAGCUCGUGUCGUGAGAUGUUGGGUUAAGUCCCGCAACGAGCGCAACCCUCGUUCCAUGUUGCCAGCAAUUCGGUUGGGGACUCAUGGGAGACUGCCGGGGUCAACUCGGAGGAAGGUGGGGAUGACGUCAAAUCAUCAUGCCCCUUAUGUCUUGGGCUUCACGCAUGC